GCGGGGCAUCCUCGUCCCGCGACGGGGCGCCCCUCGUUGCCCACCCCGCCCCGCCAACCCAUUCCGGGCGGGACGGGGCAGGGUAAAUUGCCAUCCCUACAAAUAACCAACCGCUACCCCACCACAAUCAACAAAACACCACGUUUACUAGCCUGCAGAUUAUUUCUCAAGGUCAACAAUAGCCUUUGUGUCUCUUUGUUUAAAUUUUCUAAUAGUUC
Molecule: long non-coding RNA, 218 nt
Filed under: Olea europaea (common olive)
Lineage: Eukaryota; Viridiplantae; Streptophyta; Magnoliopsida; Lamiales; Oleaceae
Description: long non-coding RNA (OEUR_LNC012881)
Source: RNAcentral